AUUAAUAACAUUAUAUAUCCUCGUUAAGAAACAAAAGUUUCCUUUGAAAACUGGAAUUAAUACUCAGCAAAAACAACGAGCCUCUCUUCUUCUCUCCCUGUUUCCAUUUUACCACAAACCAAACAAAUGCAUUUCUUUACCAGGUUCUACAAGAAAUGGAGGAAAAUGAAAUGCAAGGAGCAUCAUAAAUCUAACACCCAUGCAAACAAUCGAUCACACCCUAAAUCCCAAAUUUCCCAAAUUGAAACCUAUCCCUCAAACCAGAUCGCACACAAAUGGAGGAAAAUGAAAUGCAAGGAGCUCCGAUGGUACAUUCAAAGCAAUAAUCGAGAUUGACACACUCAUUCAACAAAUAUCAAGUUAUUAUACAGUAUGGUGAAAGUCGAAACACCGAUUCAAUAUUGAGUGAAUAACCACUAUGUUAGAGAUUUUAGCAUGAAGUGAGUAAAUGGGGAAGAAGAAGUACCGACGGAAGGAGAUCUGAAGCUUUCAACCACUUAGACUCCGAUGACUCUUCGAGCAAAAAUCUCUCCAAGUCCCCGUGGCUUCAGCUCAGUUUUCUCAAAGUUCUAAUGAUGAACUUUGAGUGAACUUUGGGAGUAUUGAGCUUUGGUGAAUGGGUGUGAGGGAAAUCUCAGCAGAGUAACGGUGUAAAAAUUAGGUUUCUUCUUCAUCAUUCGAGGUCCCUAUUUAUAGCAUUUUGUACGAGGUUCAUUCUUUCUCCUCUUUCAUGAGUUGGCGAAUUUUGGAAGAAUCAUUCCGUUAGCUAGCAGGAUUUUUCCCAGAUUUGGUGGUCCUCCAAAUUGAUGUGGUCCCUCAAAUGAAAGGAUAAGGUUUUGUCUGUAGUGAAUCUACGUUUUGCUCCUUUUGGUACAGGGUGGUUGAUAGAAUUUAUGGGCAACUCUGUCAUGAUUUUAAAUGAAGGCGUGAGGUAGGCUGAGCCAAUAUUGGAGCGGAGUAUAUCUGCAAAUUCUGAAACUCCCUUUCAAAUGAUACAGACGGACAUGGAUGGUGAUUGCGAGGUUAUGGUAACAAAGAUCGACUCAUGUGUAUUGCUAUCAGCUUGUGCGUCUGAUCUGCUUCUGCAGCAGCAAAAGAUCCAAGGGAUUGGAUUUUACCCAAUGCUUUCUGUGUAGCUGCGAGCCUCAGGUAACUAGUUCAUAUUCAUCCUGUGCUUGGUAUGUUUUGUGUUUAUUAACUUCCUUCACAAUGUCGGAGCAAGUGUAGCAAUACAUUUCUUUCACUUUCCGAACCGCUUCAAAAAAAGUCUUCUGGAGGUAUAUUCUUUCCUCUUUCUCGCAUGAGCUGCCAGACAACAAGAGUAACAUCCUUUCCAUCAAUGGGAACUGACUCGAUGUCACUUCCAAUAACAUAACCAUCCGCAACUGGUACAACAUGUGUAGUUACAUGGCGUCCCGAUUCUCAACCUGACCAUGCUUAAUCGGGUAGGUGAGAUUAUAAGUGCUACUAGACCAAGCCUUAGAAAGUGCGUCAUCUCCAAUGAAGAAAUCAAGAUCAACCAUGACACUGACAUUAUGCUGUGCAAUCCAAUUUCCCUCGGAAGAACUCCUUGAUUGAUUCAGAAGCGACUUAUUAAUUGCAACAAUGGUAGGGACCAUAAAGCAAGGUUCAACAUUACUAGCAAGUCCCUUGGCAGCCUUUGAUUUUAUGUAUCAGGUCUCCGUUUUGGAUGAUGUUUACGGAUAACAGACCAUGGCAUGCCGCAGGUCUGAUGUACUUGGCCUUGAAUGGCAAUGCAAGUGCAGUUGCCCUUGAGCAUACAUGGAUGAAUUUCCUCUUUGAGAUGCUCCUCAUGGCUUGUGGCUUCGUUCUCAUAACAUGCUUUUGACACAUUACACGACUUCCAUAGGAUGCAGAAUGUUUGUAUUGAUCUUCUACUGUUGCUCACAUGUUAUUCAUAUGGUUGCCCACAUGUUUUUCAUAUUGUUGCUCAAAUGUUGUUUAUGUUCACUAUGAGUGUAGGCAAAUUGUCAUUGCGUAUGUCUGUAAGGUUUUGAACUGGUUUUGGACAGGUUAAAACAUCUUAUACAGGUGGAUCCACAACUUAACGGGAAUGGACCGGACACGGAAGAUACACAAUUAGAUGCGCUUUAUUCAGAACUUAAUCUUUCUUGACUCAAGUGAUAUAACAUGGACAAUUGAGGCUUAGGUCUUUUUUUUAGGAAAUGGUCAAUAACUGGUUUGUUGGAAUUUGGCCAACCUUUGUAGAGGAUUUGUCAAUUCCUUAUGAUUUUGUAAUGAUGAUUUGUAAUGGAAUUUCUGAAAAGUGAAUUGUAAUUGUAUGAUUUUUAAAGGUGCAUGAAACAGUUAUUGUGAAGUGAAAUGUAGACAGAAAAUGGUUACGGAAAUCAGGAUUGUUUCAGAUUAGUGUUGUAUGCAAGAUACUUUUGCUGGAGGUUGAACCCGGCUGCAAUUCACCUUCGCCGUGACAUCAUUAUUCACAGCUUGCCUUGUGCUGUAGUUUGGAUCAUUUGUAGCCUCAUCUUGCUUUGGCUACGUUUGUUGGUGUGUUCAUAGCAGGGCUUAUGUUGGCGACACAUUAUGCGGCAUGAUUAUCACUCACACCUUGGUCUGUUUGUCUUUUUGUUAGUGUUUAUGGCAGGAUGGUUCAAACGGUCAUGUUAACACGGUUGGAACAAAGUGUCCGCACACCAAUGGCUUGUACAAAGAUCAAAGUUUCUAAUUGGUAACUUGGGAUAGAGAUGAGUUGUACUCUUUGUCAAUAAUACCGAACUCCGUAGUUUUGUUUCAAAUAAUGCACUAUUAUGGAUUGUAAUGAUGUUUGUUUA
Molecule: long non-coding RNA, 2810 nt
Organism: Lathyrus oleraceus (garden pea)
Lineage: Eukaryota; Viridiplantae; Streptophyta; Magnoliopsida; Fabales; Fabaceae
Exons: 6
Source: RefSeq, a predicted model, not a curated record